Podarcis raffonei (Aeolian wall lizard) is the source of this 5106-nucleotide long non-coding RNA. RefSeq lists it as uncharacterized. The transcript is spliced from 4 exons. Lineage: Eukaryota; Metazoa; Chordata; Lepidosauria; Squamata; Lacertidae. The record is from RefSeq and is a predicted model, not a curated record.
UUACAUGGACUUUGCCAUUUUCACUGCUGCUGCACAUGGGAGUCAACAUCUCCAUCAAGCUGUCUUCUGCAACCCCAAGGUCUUGUUCCUGGUCAGUCAACAGCAGCUGAGACUCCCAUUAGCUUAUAUAUGAAGUUAGGGGUUGGUUGGUUGGUUGGUUGGUUUGUUUUUGCCCCAGUGUGCAUCACUUACACUAAAAUACACCUACUAUUUUAGUAUCAUUCACCCAGUUUGGAGAGCUCCCUUUGGAGAUCUUUUCAAUCACUUUUUGUUUUAAACAUCCAAAGCAAUUUGGCCACCUCACUGCUUACCCUGACUUCUAGAUAAUUAAAUAAAAAGCACAGGUCCCACCCAAUACUAAUCAUUUAGGGACUCCACUUUCCCCAUCCCCUGCAUUAGGAGAAAAGUCCCAUUUAUUCUUGCUCUCUGCUUCCUGUUUCUUAACCGGUCAUUGAUCCUCAAGAGGGCCUGUCCUCUGACUUCAUGACUGUUAAGCUUACUCAGGAGUCUUUGGUGAGGUACUUCAUCAGCAGCUUUUUGACAAUCUUUAAGUACACAAUAUCUGAUGGAUCAACUUGUGUCAAUAUGUUUGUUGGCACUCAAGGAACAAGGUUUACUCUUGCGGAAGCCGUGCUGGUUCUGCUUCGGUAAGACCUGUUCUAUACCCUUAGUAAUUCUGCCUUUACAGUGUUUUCCUUUAGCUUCCCAGCACAGAUGCUAAGGUAAGUUGCCUGUAACUUCCUGGAUCCUAUCUGGGUUCCUGCUUAGGAGCUGAAUCCUGGCUUAUUCAGCUAUUUGCACAAGAGGAGCAAAGCAGCUGCAAAGGGGUUCCAUUUACCUGCAUGCAAGUCACCACAAGCCCACCACAAGACAAGAAUGAGCAACAUGUUUGCUGCAGCUUGGGCUGGAUGUUUUUGAUUUCGCAGUUCUGCCAGCAACUCAUUUUUUGUGUUACUAAAUGCAGUACCCUUAGGGAAAUAGAAUGGGGGGGGGGGGACAAGGGCUGCCAUCUUCAGUGUUCUUUGCAUCUUGAUGAGGGUGGGAGAGCUAUGGGUAGACUUGAAGAUAACAUUACACUUCCAUUCAUCUGUCCCUCCUGUACGCAGUACAUUAACCAGUUGAAAAAAAUAACUAUUGAAGAGAAAACCAUAGCAGCAGGAUGCUAAAACUGUAAGUUAAUUGCAAGCUCACUGUGGGUAAAUAUUGGUUGUAACAAGGCAGUGAGGUAUAAUUGGGAAAACUAUAUACUUGAUUUAGCUUGCCUACAAACCCCCUCUCCCCUCUGUGCUCCUGCUGGUGCUGCUACAAUCUCUGACUGAUGCACUGUGGAAUUCUUCAAUGAUAGGUCAAGUACCAUAAGCAGUUACUCUGGAAUUAGAAGGGUCUGUUAUUUGGUUGAUGCAGUCUGGAAUACUUUUUCAUGAACUAGGCAAAUUUAUGCUUUGCCAUUUUUAGCUCUUAUCAGGAAAGGGGGAAGAGUUGCCAGGCAGCACCCACAGAGCAACCGUUGCUGAGAGCUUACGCCGCCGCCUCUUGCCCUAGUGAGACUCUGAUCACAUCACAAAGGCCAGCUGGGUUGCUGUGGGCAGCUGCUUAAGGGUCUGGCUAUUCGGGACAUUCUGUGGAACAUCGAGAGAAGUUGCUCUUUGUUCUCUUCCGUUGUACAAUUGCAAAUUGUUUAGCAAGCCACCGAGAGCCCUAAGCAUAGGACAAGAUAUGUAAUCUGCAAGGUGCUGCCUUUGUAGAUGGUCUGAAGACUGCAGCUUGUUCAGAGUGCUGUGUUCAGGCUGGUGUCAAUGACUAGCUGUUUGGAACGUAUUCCUUUAUUGCUCAGUCUUAGGAAGCUGCUUUAUGCCUCGGCACAUUAUUUGUACAUCUAGGCCACUAUUGCUUGUUCUGAGUGGCAGCAGUUCAGCUGCACAUAAUCUAAAUUGUCUUGGUCAAUGUUGGCACACAAGAACAUUGCUUAGUGAAUGUAAUUACCUCCUCUUCCAAUCACAAAUUAUCCUGUAUUAAUAUUUAUUUAAUAUUUUUGUUGUGGGGAGGGGAAAAGAAGCUACUGUGUUCACUGAGGGCCCCAUCCCCAAGCAGUGGAGAUUUUAUUCAGUAACACCUCUGGCUACUGAGGGCUAGAAACUAUUAUUACUAAUGAUUUUCAGAAAGCUGAAUUCUGUACUUUUCCCAUGUGCUUACAAAAUAACAGGAUCACUUUGGCUGUAAAGAGAAGCUGGACUCAAGACAUAGCGGCCCCUUAGCCUUUUUUAUUGUUGUUUUUUUGCAACAUUGUGUGGACAUCUGAAACCAUAACUGCUAUGUGAACAUCCAGUGGGCUAACCUGUGUUGAAAAGUUAUGGAGCAACUUUCCCAAUUUCCUGUUGCACUGUAACAGUGUAACAGCGCAGAUGCAUGUAAUUUUCUUAGAAGCAAGCCUCACCAGUGGUCAAUGGGACUUACUCUCUAGUGAGCAUGUUUAGGUUUGGAGUCUAAUAAGACCGUUGUCAGUUGAGCUGACUGCAAAAGUUAGGCAUGGAUGGCUGUAACGCUCCAUAGCUUCCCAGGCAAGCUGUUCUGUUGAAAAACUUUGUGAGCACUUGAGUGGUUGGUGUGUUUGUUUAUGUAAAAUCUAUCAAUGAAAAUAACGGUUUUAUGUCCUUGGUCUGUUGUUCGGAGAAUAUUAGCAACAACAGCUGCACAUCCCAACCGCACAAUUUCCUCUCCCAACUGGUAGUGAUGUCAGUAAAUGUUAGGUUUUGGUAUGGAAAUGCAAUGCUGAUAAUCAAGUUUAAUCUAUUCACCGUGACCACUGGCAUACACAUAGUUUUGCUGCUCUGAAGGAAAGGCUUUGUUUAAUCAGGGCACAAGCCAGCCAAAGGUUAUUUACCAAUUAGUUGUAUCAAUUUCAAUGAGAGAGUUAUGGGGAAGAGGCUUUCUCAGUGACAGAGCACAUGAUUUGCAUGCAAAAGGUCUCAGGUGUUCAUCCCUGGAAUCUUUAGGUAGGACUAUGAAAGUUUUUCAUUUGAAACCAUGGUGAGAUACUGCCAAUCAGUGUAGAGAAUACACUGGUCUAACUUGGUAUGGCAGCCUCCAACAUUUCUAGUAUGCACCAUUGAAAUAUAAAAAAGGAUGCUUAGCUUUGGGUGGAUGGUGUUGUAGAUCUAAUUAUCUUAUCAGAAAAUAAGGCAACGUUUCCUGGAGCAUACCUCAUCACAUAUCACCCAAAAACACACACUGCAAGUUACACAAAAGUUACAGCAAGAGGGUGGGGUUGGGGAGAGAUAAGUAUGUUUGUUGAUUAAUGAUCCCCACUCUCUUUAAUUGCCCCAUUCUCCUAAAUAUGACGCAGUAAUUUAUAGGAUCAUGGUGUCUCCCCAACACAGCAGGAGUCAUUGCUAUGCUGGCACGUUCUAUGUACAAUUGCUGACGAGUAAGACCUGUUGAAAACAUGCAUAAGAGUGGGCUGCAAGUAGUUAAAUUUGGUAGGGGUUCAUAUUGCAUGGCUUUGCAACAUACCUGCUCAACGUCUGUUGUAGCCUCAACAUGAAGCAAUUGCUGUGAGAAACCAGUACCUUGCACAAAAAACUCCCUCUAAGCCACAAAGCGACAAGAAGCAUAGCCUAUAACUAUGGUCUUGUUCUUGGAAACAGCAGAUGAGGUGAUAACAGUUAUCAUGCCAGAAGUGCAAAUGGGGCUCACAUGACUAAAUGAUACUGCAUACGAUAAAAAUCGGGGUCAGGCCAAGAUGCUUUGUGACCUGAGGCAUAGGAGAAGCUGGCAUCCUCCAACAUGCAGAAGUUGGCCAGAUUGGCAGUUGACUCUUUCUUCAACACUGACAAUGAGACGGCAACAUCCACCACCACAGCCUGGAUUGGUACACACAAUUCUGUCAUCGAACACUUGGGCAACUUUCCCCACCUCCAGCUGCUGCCACCAGAGGCACCUGUCUCACCCUGCCUAGCAGAAGGACCCUGGAAGACAUUAUUCCUGCACACAGAAAACUUGAUAUUGAGGGGAGAGCUUGGCCUUCUCCCUAUCACAACCAGCUUUUUCCAUGCAGAAUUGUGUUUGCAGGAAAGAGCAUUCCUUCACAUAGUCAGGUGGGCAGACUGGGGAAAGAGCGAGUUCCUUACACAAUAUGUGUUAUGUUCACUAUGCAUAGGAUUGUGAGCACUUUAAACAAAAAAAAAGCUGGUAGCAUGACGGGAGAGUACUACUCAGGAUGUAAGGCCCAGAACAGGCCCAGUGCUGGAGUCUAGUGCAAAUUUAUUGUCACAGGACAGAGCUCAGUGUUUAGGGGUGGGUCUGAGGGAGCCAGAGUCUCUCUCCCCCCCCAUCCCAUUUUUUUUGUUAUUCCAUUCAUUUUUGCUAUUAAAGACCACGGGUGGAUGCCAUUUCGUCACCAUGACUAUAUGCACACAGUGCCUUGGAAACAAUGCAAAGUCCCUCGGCAGUCUGGGUAAAUAAAAUGAAGGCCACCCUGUAACAGUUGUUGAGAAAAGAAGCUCUGCCACUGCUGGAGAAAGAUGAUCCCUCCUGCCCGCAAAUGGUCAAUAAUAAAAAGUCAGUGUGGUGUGAUGUCAUGCAAAGUGUUAAGACUAGGAUUCAGGAGACCCAGGUUCAAAUUGGCUAAAAAGCUCAUUGGGUGACUUGGGCCUAUCCCUGCCUCUCAGCCUGACCUACCUCACAGGGUUGUUGUGGGGGAUGAAAAGGGGAGAGGAGAACAAUGCACACCUCCUUGAGGAACGUAGAAGAAAGCAGCUUAACCCCCCCCCCCCCGUAAGUGCAAAGGACCACUCUGCAACCAGUUUGCACGAAAGAUACUUAGGCAGGCGAUCAUAAGAAUCUGGCAUCAUGUAUAUGGAACUUUAUCUCCAAGACCCAAGUGUAGUGCAGGGAUUUCCAGCCUCACACCCACAGGUGCCACGGAGCCUCAUGCAGAUGUCCCAUACACUGAACGUUUCUUCUUCUUUUUCUUUAAAAAAAAUUAUGUUCAUCUACCCUUUGUACAUGGGCAUACAAACCCAUGCUGCACUUUUGCAUACUAUCACUGAGACCACCUACAUAAGUGUAAUUCCUGAUGCAUUUCCUGGUGACAUGAAAUUUAUUGAA